GCCAGGAUUGGUGUCUCCAGCAAACAUCCUGUCCCACACAGCAGGCAGCGUGCAGUGCUUCGCAGGAAGAUGGCUUGGGCUUCGUUUGGGUUUGUUUAUGUACAAAGGGGGAAAUGUAUCUACUGUACUCUGCAGUGCCUAAUUUGUGUCCUCAGAGGAUAUCCUCGUGGAGGAUAAACCAGGCUUCUGGCUAAUCUUGGCAUAAGGUUUGAUAAUUGAAAUACAGAAGUUAUUGGACACUGUUCACAGACCAAUUGAUGGGACCAUGUUUACGAGCAACAAUGAAGAUACUAGCUAGCAUCUUUUCGGUAUUUUUAUUAACGUGGAAAUAGAUGUAAAAGCAUUUUCUGAUGCAACUUUGUGAGCAAAUCAGUGACUGUUGAAAACAAACCUGCAAAUUUGUUGAUACAGAGCAAUCUUAAUGACUGUGAGCACGUCUAUGAGUUAAAAUGCACGUUACUGCAAUUAACACUAGCUUUGCCUCUCCGAACAAGCAGUCCAGUCCGUAUCUGUGGAAAGGAAGUGACAGAGAAGGACUGAGGAGCCGUGUGGGUGUCCAGAUCUCUGCAAAGGCAAUGGUGUAGCAAAAGAAGAAAACAUUUGUGCUCGCCUGAGCAAGAGUGUUCCUGCCAAGAGGGGGUUCCAGCUGGAUCAGUUUUACAAGACAGGACUUGGACACCUCAGUGUCCUGUCAUGGGUCUGCCUGUCAUGAAGGCCUUGCUUGUCCUCUCCUGCCUCAACCCCUCAGUAUCAGUGGCUGUAUUCACUGCUUCCAAGUUUUCAGCUGUGGUUUGUUUUAAGGCAGGUAAACUGAGACAUUUGACUCAAAGAGGAAUUCCUUCAGAUAACAAAGAGAUUAGGGGACACCUGUAAACCGACUCUUUUAUUAGCUCAAGAGGAAGAAAAUACCUUUAGAACAUCGUGUAGUUCUUGCUGUUUGCUCUUUGAAUAGUGUGUCAUGUGAGAAUUGCAUCUGCCAAAUACCAAGCAGGCAUUAGAGUUUUUUGUGUCGUCAUUCUCCAUGGAAUAAAUGGAAGGGCUUUGAAUGGAGGCACACAAGGCAGCCUUCCUACAGCAGCCUGUCACUUUGCAAAGCAGCUGUGAAUUUAAUGGGAGUACAAAUGAAAAGCAGCUGAUAAUUAGGCUUCUGGGUGUUUUAGCAUUAUUAUUGUUAAUUUUUAAAUAUCAAUUAGGUAAUCGAGAGAGUGCUAUUGAGAAGCAUAUAUUUUUGGUUUUUAAUAUUCUAAGCAGGGUUCCAGCUGGGUGACAUGAUGAAUUACAGCUCCUGGUAGGAAUCUGAUAUCAGGAGGGACUCAAGAGUUCCACUGAGCAGAAAGGAAGAGGAUUGUGAUGGUCAGGAUGGUAUAGCGAAGCAUAUUCGUAUUAAAGGGGCUGCGAAACUUAGAUAAGCCUUUUUGUUGUUAACUUUACAUAGUGUUAGAAUAACAUCUCUGCCAGCUGGCAGGUUUAAAUGUCUAGAUACAGAUUUCUGCCAUCUACAUAUCAUAUAGUGAUUUAAGUUAUCUUAGAUUUAAGAAAAAAAAAACUCAGUUCUUUUUAAGAAGUCUUAUGCUAGCUUAGCAAAAAAAUAGAGUUUCAGAAAUGAGUAGUGACUUCAGACAAGUGCAAAGAGGAACCUGCAGAAGAACUUUGUGCUCAGAAGAACUUUUUGCACUGAGAAGACUUGGGGGUUCUGUUGUUGCUGUGCUUUUAAAACUGCUCUCUUUGAUCUCCA
This is a long non-coding RNA of Cygnus atratus (black swan), 1735 nucleotides long. RefSeq lists it as uncharacterized. The record is from RefSeq and is a predicted model, not a curated record. The transcript is spliced from 2 exons. Lineage: Eukaryota; Metazoa; Chordata; Aves; Anseriformes; Anatidae.